This 407-nucleotide ribosomal RNA is filed under the name uncultured bacterium. Its description in RNAcentral is "partial 16S ribosomal RNA". It matches the Rfam family "Bacterial small subunit ribosomal RNA", at positions 30 to 526 of the family's 1533-position model. The record is from RNAcentral.
AUUGGACGCUGGCGGCAGGCCUAACACAUGCAAGUCGAGCGGUGCGCCGGACGGGUGAGUAAUGCCUAUGUAUCUGCCUGGUAGUGGGGGAUAACGUCCGGAAACGGGCGCUAAUCCCGAAUAGUCUCAGAUGAGCCUAGGUGGGAUUAGCUAGUUGGUGGGGUACAGGCGUACCAAGGCGACGAGCCGUAACUGGUCUGAGAGGAUGAUCAGCCACACUGGAACUGAGACACGCGCCUGCUUCCUACGGGAGGGAGCAGUGGGGAAUAUUGGACAAUGGCCGAAACCCUGAUCCAGCCACGCCGCGUGUGUGAAGAAGGUCUUCGUGUUGUAAAUCGCUUUAAGUUGGGAGGCGUGCCCAACAGAAUAAGCACCGGCUAACUUCGUGCCAGCAGCCGCGGUAAUAC